AUUGAACGCUGGCGGCAUGCUUUACACAUGCAAGUCGAACGGCAGCGGGUCCUUCGGGAUGCCGGCGAGUGGCGAACGGGUGAGUAAUGCAUCGGAACGUACCGUGUAAUGGGGGAUAACGUAGCGAAAGUUACGCUAAUACCGCAUACGCCCUGAGGGGGAAAGCGGGGGAUCGCAAGACCUCGCGUUAUACGAGCGGCCGAUGUCGGAUUAGCUAGUUGGUGGGGUAAAGGCUUACCAAGGCGACGAUCCGUAGCGGGUCUGAGAGGAUGAUCCGCCACACUGGGACUGAGACACGGCCCAGACUCCUACGGGAGGCAGCAGUGGGGAAUUUUGGACAAUGGGGGCAACCCUGAUCCAGCCAUGCCGCGUGCGGGAAGAAGGCCUUCGGGUUGUAAACCGCUUUCGGACGGGAAGAAAUUGUUCUGGCUAAUACCCAGGAUGGAUGACGGUACCGUAAGAAGAAGCACCGGCUAACUACGUGCCAGCAGCCGCGGUAAUACGUAGGGUGCGAGCGUUAAUCGGAAUUACUGGGCGUAAAGCGUGCGCAGGCGGUUUCUUAAGCCAGAUGUGAAAUCCCCGGGCUUAACCUGGGAACUGCAUUUGGAACUGGGAGACUAGAGUGCGUCAGAGGGGGGUAGAAUUCCACGUGUAGCAGUGAAAUGCGUAGAGAUGUGGAGGAACACCGAUGGCGAAGGCAGCCCCCUGGGAUGACACUGACGCUCAUGCACGAAAGCGUGGGGAGCAAACAGGAUUAGAUACCAUGGUAGUCCACGCCCUAAACGAUGUCAACUGGUUGUUGGGAGAGC
Molecule: ribosomal RNA, 809 nt
Filed under: uncultured beta proteobacterium
Lineage: Bacteria; Pseudomonadati; Pseudomonadota; Betaproteobacteria
Description: bacterial SSU rRNA
Rfam family: Bacterial small subunit ribosomal RNA
Source: RNAcentral